ACGGGUGAGUAACACGUAAGGAACCUGCCUCAAGGAUUGGGAUAACUCCGAGAAAUCGGAGCUAAUACCGGAUAGUUCAACGGACCGCAUGGUCCGCUGAUGAAAGGCGCUCCGGCGUCACCUUGAGAUGGCCUUGCGGUGCAUUAGCUAGUUGGUGGGGUAACGGCCCACCAAGGCGACGAUGCAUAGCCGACCUGAGAGGGUGAUCGGCCACACUGGGACUGAGACACGGCCCAGACUCCUACGGGAGGCAGCAGUAGGGAAUCUUCCACAAUGGACGAAAGUCUGAUGGAGCAACGCCGCGUGAGUGAUGAAGGUUUUCGGAUCGUAAAACUCUGUUGUAAGGGAAGAACACGUACGAGAGGGAAUGCUCGUACCUUGACGGUACCUUACGAGAAAGCCACGGCUAACUACGUGCCAGCAGCCGCGGUAAUACGUAGGUGGCAAGCGUUGUCCGGAAUUAUUGGGCGUAAAGCGCGCGCAGGCGGCCUUUUAAGUCUGAUGUGAAAGCCCCCGGCUCAACCGGGGAGGGCCAUUGGAAACUGGAAGGCUUGAGUACAGAAGAGA
This 567-nucleotide ribosomal RNA is filed under the name uncultured bacterium. RNAcentral's name for it is "bacterial SSU rRNA". It matches the Rfam family "Bacterial small subunit ribosomal RNA", at positions 102 to 657 of the family's 1533-position model. The record is from RNAcentral.